This is a non-coding RNA of Galeopterus variegatus (Sunda flying lemur), 456 nucleotides long. Lineage: Eukaryota; Metazoa; Chordata; Mammalia; Dermoptera; Cynocephalidae. The record is from the annotation of a RefSeq genome assembly.
AGCCCACCUGCACAUGUCAGACAGAGACACGAUCCCCAAGAGAGACCCACAGUGGACAAGGCGAGAGGCCCCUGGGAGAACAGCCACUCACCAUGGACUGGAGCUGGAGAAUCCUCUUCCUGGUCACAGCAUCUACUGGUGCCCACUCCCAAGUCCAGCUGGUGCAGUCUGGGGCUGAGUUGAAGAAGCCUGGAGAGUCUGUGAAGGUCUCCUGCAAGGCUUCCGGAUACACCUUCACAAGCUACUAUAUGGACUGGGUGCGCCAGGUCCCUGGACAAGGGCUUGACGGGAUGGGACGGAUCAACCCUAGCUCUGGUGGCACAAGCUAUGCACAGAAUUUCCAGGGCAGAGUCACCAUGACCAAGGACACGUCCAUUAGCACAGCCUUCAUGGAGCUGAGCAGUCUGAGAUCUGAGGACACAGCCAUAUAUUUCUGUGCAAGAGACACAGUGUGAC